UUUCCGUAGGUGAACCUGCGGAAGGAUCAUUAGUAAAGCGUAGCGUUAUCCCCGGAUGCCCAUCCGCACCGGGAUAGCGUUUACUUUCAACCACCAUGUGAAUAUGUAACAUAUAUCUUACCAAUUGACUGUUAACGAAGUCUGAAUCAAAUUGUAUUGGUGUUUAUAGACACUAGUAAAAUAUGAAACAACUUUUGGCAACGGAUCUCUUGGCUCUCGCAUCGAUGAAGAACGCAGC
Molecule: unclassified non-coding RNA, 238 nt
Filed under: uncultured fungus
Lineage: Eukaryota; Fungi
Description: sequence contains ITS1, 5.8S rRNA gene
Rfam family: 5.8S ribosomal RNA (bases 190-238)
Source: RNAcentral